GAGAGUAAAGCCAAAAUCAAGAGGCGGGCCUCUGUUACAGGCUAUAGUGGAAGGUUUCCUAUCUUA
This 66-nucleotide transfer RNA is filed under the name Trachelipus rathkii. RNAcentral's name for it is "tRNA-Asn". The record is from RNAcentral. Lineage: Eukaryota; Metazoa; Arthropoda; Malacostraca; Isopoda; Trachelipodidae.